UGCAGUCGAACGAGAAAGGAUCCUUCGGGGUCUGAUUACAGUGGCGAACGGGUGAGUAACAGGUAGGUGACCUGCCCUGAGGAGGGGGACAACUGUGGGAAACCACAGCUAAUACCCCAGAUGUUUAUAGUGCUAGAGGCUAUAAACUAAAGCUUUUGCGCCUCGGGAGGGGCCUGCAAGCUAUCAGCUUGUUGGUGAGGUAAUGGUUCACCAAGGCUAAGACGGCUAGGGGGCGUGAGAGCGCGACCCCCCACAAUGGAACUGAGACACGGUCCAUACUCCUACGGGAGGCAGCAGUGAGGAAUAUUGCACAAUGGGGGAAACCCUGAUGCAGCAACGCCGCGUGGACGAAGAAGGCCCUCGGGUCGUAAAGUCCUUUUCUGAGGGAAGAUAGUGACGGUACCUCAGGAAUAAGUCCCGGCUAACUACGUGCCAGCAGCCGCGGUAAAACGUAGGGGGCGAGCGUUAUCCGGAUUUAUUGGGCGUAAAGCGCGCGUAGGCGGCAUGGUAAGUUGGACGUGAAAGCUCCCGGCUCAACUGGGAGAGGUCGUUCAAAACUGCCAAGCUUGAGAGCAGAAGAGGAGAGUAGAAUUCCCGGUGUAGUGGUGGAAUGCGUAGAUAUCGGGAGGAAUACCAGUGGCGAAGGCGGCUCUCUGGUCUGUUUCUGCCGCUGAGGUGCGAAAGCGUGGGGAGCGAACGGGAUUAGAUACCCCGGUAGUCCACGCUGUAAACGAUGGAUACUAGGUGUAGGAGAUGUUAAAAUUUUCUGUGCCGUAGCAAACGCGAUAAGUAUCCCGC
This 798-nucleotide ribosomal RNA is filed under the name uncultured marine bacterium. RNAcentral describes it as "bacterial SSU rRNA". It matches the Rfam family "Bacterial small subunit ribosomal RNA", at positions 56 to 872 of the family's 1533-position model. The record is from RNAcentral.